GCCCAGCUGGCUCAGUCAGUAGAGCAUGCGACUCUUGAUCUCCAGGUCGUAAGUUCGAGUCCCACGCUGGGUG
This 73-nucleotide transfer RNA is filed under the name Ailuropoda melanoleuca (giant panda). It matches the Rfam family "tRNA". From Rfam's summary of the family: Transfer RNA (tRNA) molecules are approximately 80 nucleotides in length. Their secondary structure includes four short double-helical elements and three loops (D, anti-codon, and T loops). The record is from Rfam by way of RNAcentral. Lineage: Eukaryota; Metazoa; Chordata; Mammalia; Carnivora; Ursidae.